This 497-nucleotide ribosomal RNA is filed under the name uncultured bacterium. Its description in RNAcentral is "partial 16S ribosomal RNA". It matches the Rfam family "Bacterial small subunit ribosomal RNA", at positions 28 to 507 of the family's 1533-position model. The record is from RNAcentral.
GAUGAACGCUGGCGGCGUGCCUAAUACAUGCAAGUCGAGCGAACGGACGAGAAGCUUGCUUCUCUGAUGUUAGCGGCGGACGGGUGAGUAACACGUGGAUAACCUACCUAUCAGACUGGGAUAACUUCGGGAAACCGGAGCUAAUACCGGAUAAUAUUAUGAACCGCAUGGUUCAAAAGUGAAAGACGGUCUUGCUGUCACUUAUAGAUGGAUCCGCGCUGCAUUAGCUAGUUGGUAAGGUAACGGCUUACCAAGGCAACGAUGCAUAGCCGACCUGAGAGGGUGAUCGGCCACACUGGAACUGAGACACGGUCCAGACUCCUACGGGAGGCAGCAGUAGGGAAUCUUCCGCAAUGGGCGAAAGCCUGACGGAGCAACGCCGCGUGAGUGAUGAAGGUCUUCGGAUCGUAAAACUCUGUUAUUAGGGAAGAACAUAUGUGUAAGUAACUGUGCACAUCUUGACGGUACCUAAUCAGAAAGCCACGGCUAACUACGUG